UACGGGGGGGGCAAGCGUUGUUCGGAUUUACUGGGCGUAAAGGGCGCGUAGGCGGCCACCGCAAGUCGACUGUGAAAUCUCCGGGCUUAACCCGGAAAGGUCAGCCGAUACUGCGGGGCUAGAGUGCAGAAGGGGCAACUGGAAUUCUCGGUGUAGCGGUGAAAUGCGUAGAUAUCGAGAGGAACACCUGCGGCGAAGGCGGGUUGCUGGGCUGACACUGACGCUGAGGCGCGAAAGCUAGGGGAGCAAACAGG
This 254-nucleotide ribosomal RNA is filed under the name uncultured bacterium. RNAcentral's name for it is "partial 16S ribosomal RNA". It matches the Rfam family "Bacterial small subunit ribosomal RNA", at positions 524 to 776 of the family's 1533-position model. The record is from RNAcentral.